Non-coding RNA from Dipodomys ordii (Ord's kangaroo rat), 72 nucleotides. The record is from Rfam. Lineage: Eukaryota; Metazoa; Chordata; Mammalia; Rodentia; Heteromyidae.
GGUUCCAUGGUAUAAUGGUGAGCGCUCUGCACUCUGAAUCCAGUGAUUCAAGUUCAAAUCUUGGUGGCACCU